ACCCCACUAUGCCAGGCCGUAAAAUUAACCCACACAAAAACGCCAGGGUACUACGAGCCCCAGCUUAAAACCCAAAGGACUUGACGGUGUCCCACCCCACUAGAGGAGCCUGUCCUAUAAUCGAUGACCCACGUUAUACCCAACCCCUUCUUGCUUUUCAGCCUGUAUACCUCCGUCGCAAGCUUGUCAUGUGAACGCAUAACAACAAGCCUAAGGGCCUACCUGCCAAAACGUCAGGUCAAGGUGCAGCUCAUAAGUGGAAAGUGAUGAGCUACAAUUUCUAUAUUAGAACAAACGGAAUCCUACAUGAAACACAGAUCACAAAGGUGGAUUUAGAAGUA
RNAcentral lists this ribosomal RNA (341 nucleotides) under Theloderma phrynoderma (Burmese bug-eyed frog). RNAcentral describes it as "partial 12S ribosomal RNA". It matches the Rfam family "Bacterial small subunit ribosomal RNA", at positions 784 to 1340 of the family's 1533-position model. The record is from RNAcentral. Lineage: Eukaryota; Metazoa; Chordata; Amphibia; Anura; Rhacophoridae.